GUGCCAGUCAUCGCGGUUAUACCAAAAAGAUUGGUCAUAUUUUAUUGGUUGAAAGUGUAGUAAAAUUAUUAAUUUAUUUUUAUUGUUACUUUUUUUAGGUGAAAUUAAAAAAGUAAUUUAAUUUAUUUAAAAAUUUUAUAUUGAUUCUACUAAAAUUUUGAGGGAAACUGGGAUUAGAUACCCCAUUAUUCUUAAAAGUAAAUAUAUAAUACCUAGGUAUUACGAAUAAUUAUAUUUAAAAUCUAAAGAACUUGGCGGUAUUUUAGACUAUUUAGGGGAGCCUGUCUCGUAAUCGAUAAUCCACGACCUACCUAACCUUUAUUGGUUGACAGUUUGUAUACCGUUGUCGUCAGGUAACUUUUAAGAAUAAAAAAGUUAACAAUUAAAGGAUUUAAUUUUUACGUCAAAUCAAGGUGCUGCUUAUAUAAAGGAGAGGAUGGGCUACAAUUACGAAUUUUUAAUGAUGGAUUAGAAUUAGAAUAAUUUUAUGAAGGAGGACUUAAAAGUAAAUAUUUAAUUAUAUAAAUUUCUUGAAUUUAGCUCUGAAAUGUGCACACAUCGCCCGUCGCUCUUGUUAAAAAAUAAGAUAAGUCGUAACAUAGUAGGGGGGUAA
RNAcentral lists this ribosomal RNA (613 nucleotides) under Amphithalamus fulcira. Its description in RNAcentral is "partial 12S rRNA". Lineage: Eukaryota; Metazoa; Mollusca; Gastropoda; Littorinimorpha; Barleeiidae. The record is from RNAcentral.